This is a small nuclear RNA of Protobothrops mucrosquamatus (brown spotted pit viper), 174 nucleotides long. RefSeq annotates it as U12 minor spliceosomal RNA. Lineage: Eukaryota; Metazoa; Chordata; Lepidosauria; Squamata; Viperidae. The transcript has a single exon. The record is from RefSeq and is a predicted model, not a curated record.
AUGCCUUAAACUUAUGAGUAAGGAAAAUAACGAUUCGGGGUGACGCCCGGGUCCUCACUAACAAGACUUGUGGACUUCAGCUCCCAGAAUUCUGGGAGCUGAAGUCCACAAGUCUUGAAGUUGUCAAGGUUGCAGACCCCUAAUCUAUACAAAGCAGGGAUUGCAAUCUUCUUC